RNAcentral lists this ribosomal RNA (253 nucleotides) under uncultured bacterium. RNAcentral describes it as "partial 16S ribosomal RNA". It matches the Rfam family "Bacterial small subunit ribosomal RNA", at positions 524 to 776 of the family's 1533-position model. The record is from RNAcentral.
UACAGAGGUCUCAAGCGUUGUUCGGAUUCAUUGGGCGUAAAGGGUGCGUAGGUGGCGCCGUAAGUCAGGUGUGAAAUCUCGGGGCUUAACUCCGAAACUGCAUUUGAUACUGCGGUGCUCGAGGACUGGAGAGGAGACUGGAAUUUACGGUGUAGCGGUGAAAUGCGUAGAUAUCGUAAGGAAGACCAGUGGCGAAGGCGGGUCUCUGGACAGUUCCUGACGCUGAGGCACGAAGGUCAGGGGAGCAAACGGG